Molecule: ribosomal RNA, 254 nt
Filed under: uncultured bacterium
Lineage: Bacteria
Description: partial 16S ribosomal RNA
Rfam family: Bacterial small subunit ribosomal RNA
Source: RNAcentral
UACGUAGGGAGCAAGCGUUGUCCGGAAUCACUGGGCGUAAAGCGCGCGCAGGCGGCCCUUUAAGUCUGACGGUGAAAUGCCGGGGCUCAACCCCGUGCCCGCCGCGGAUACUGGAGGGCUGGAGACACGUAGAGGCAAGCGGAAUUCCGGGUGUAGCGGUGGAAUGCGUAGAGAUCCGGAAGAACACCGGAGGCGAAGGCGGCUUGCUGGGCGUAGUCUGACGCUGAGGCGCGAAAGCGUGGGGAGCGAACAGG